This 253-nucleotide ribosomal RNA is filed under the name uncultured bacterium. RNAcentral's name for it is "partial 16S ribosomal RNA". It matches the Rfam family "Bacterial small subunit ribosomal RNA", at positions 524 to 776 of the family's 1533-position model. The record is from RNAcentral.
UACGUAGGGGGCAAGCGUUAUCCGGAAUGAUUGGGCGUAAAGCGUCCGCAGGUGGCUGUGUAAGUCUGCUGUCAAAGAACAAAGCUCAACUUUGUAAAGGCAGUGGAAACUACACGGCUAGAGUGCGUUCGGGGCAGAGGGAAUUCCUGGUGUAGCGGUGAAAUGCGUAGAGAUCAGGAAGAACACCGGUGGCGAAGGCGCUCUGCUAGGCCGCAACUGACACUGAGGGACGAAAGCUAGGGGAGCGAAUGGG